UCUUGGUAUGUUAAACAAGUCAGAUUCCAUCUGGUUAAGAUUCGGGAUCAGCAGAACCAGAUAUUCCUUAAGGAACUCGAUGUAAACAAUCAGUAGUGGUCUGUAGCCUGUAGGCAAGCGAUGGGUAAUGCUUCAUGAAGCGUGCUUGAUGAAUACCUUUCAGCAAGCUUAUGUCUGACUUGAAUUUGUGGGGAACGACAACAGACAAAUAGUUUUCUGAAUAACUGUUUUGUUAGUUCACUCCCAGCUGACAAACAUGGCAGAAAGACACACCAGAAUAUACGAGUGGGAGAUUUAUCGCUGAUGAAGAAACGCGUCUUCCCAGAAAGAAAAGAGAACAAUGGGAUCAUAGUUUGCAAAACAACACCCCAGAUGUCUCCUUGGCUUUCGCUCGGCCUUAGGCAGCUGCCAAAUCAUAUCUGUCAUUAACCCAGGGAAAUCCAGCUACAGGGAUCAUGGGAUGCCUCGCAGAAGGAUUUUUACACUCUCCUCAUAUUUCCCACCACUAUUAAGACUUCCUAAAUGCAAUUUGCAUGUCAGCAUCAGUUUUUGGAAAGUAUAGCGGUGUUAACAGGUGUUGUUCACCUUUGAAUUGUAAUCUAAAGCAAAAAAGGGCUCAGACUUCAUUGCAAACGUUUCAUUACAGGACUAGAGGGCGGGAUCUGGAGACUCCCAUAAUACCUCCACAAACAGUAUUGUGACUGGAAAUAAAACCGCAUCAAGAAUAAAUCAUCAUGGAGAAGGUUAACCGGUUCAUGGAAGUGCAGAUAGCUGUGCAGUUUCGCAGCCUCAACAGGAUCUAGACCUGCAAUCACGUGUAGGAAUGCCGCAUGCUCAUUUUAGCCCCAUCUGUGUCCCGUAACCCAGAUGCCCCUCGCCUCACCGUGACCUCUUCCUCUGCGGCGUCGUCCCCCUCUCCCUUA
This is a long non-coding RNA of Puntigrus tetrazona (Sumatra barb), 923 nucleotides long. RefSeq lists it as uncharacterized. The transcript has 3 exons. The record is from RefSeq and is a predicted model, not a curated record. NCBI's taxonomy places the organism in Eukaryota, Metazoa, Chordata, Actinopteri, Cypriniformes, Cyprinidae.